GGAGGAAGGAAAACAGCUCAUCUCUUGACAUGAGUGCGACAGAGGAUUCCAGUUCUUCUUGGCACCUCCAUGGCCUUCAAGUUGCUGCAUUCCUGCUUAUCUACCAGUUCAGCACUGUCUAUUUCUGGCAGACUACUUUAUCCCUUGACACAGGUCCAAAGGUGAUGGCAUCCUCAAGGUGUAACCCAGUAGUGUUGUCUAAUGCAGCUAGGUGUAUGACCAACACAAGGUUCACCAUUUCACUUGAGAAGCGUGUUCAGGAAGAGAGGAAGAGGAGGAAGUGGUGUUGA
Molecule: long non-coding RNA, 290 nt
Filed under: Numida meleagris (helmeted guineafowl)
Lineage: Eukaryota; Metazoa; Chordata; Aves; Galliformes; Numididae
Description: lncRNA (ENSNMEG00000008936.1)
Source: RNAcentral